AUGGCUGAACCCAACUCGUGUGAGGAGCAGUGCAGGAGGCAGGUGGAGGAGAACAAGCGGAAGCUGGAGGAGCUGCGCUUGCACCGCCUCUCCGUCGCCGUGCGCGAGGCCGCCGUCAAGCCGAAGCCGGUCAGUUCAAGCCCAUGCCUCCUUCCUGACAAAAGACCAAGCUACCGAGGCGGUGUCGCGAUGCCCCGACUCGGCUGUCCGGCAGGGUCGCCGGUCUGCCCGAGCAACCCGAUUACCGCGACAGAAAAAUCAGGUACACCCAUGCGCACCCAAACUGUUCUUUCCAACGAAUUUUUAUGCAUAGGAAUAGGAAGUAUACUACUUACUACUCCAUUACUUGGUUGUCUUUCAGGGGAGGGGCAUAUGUCGAUAGAAGGCAAUUGCCACCUGAUGAUGUGUACGCCACCGACGAAGCGAGCGCCUACGCCCUCACCAAGGCUGAAGAGCUCAAGAGCCAGCUGUGCUUCGACCACCCCUCCUUCGUCAAGCCCAUUUGCUAUAAAACUGCCACAGCUAGCUGCCUGCGCAUACCUCAGCUAUUCAAAGAGUGGUAUCUCCCGUGGUGUAAUGAGAUGA
RNAcentral lists this ribosomal RNA (585 nucleotides) under Triticum aestivum (bread wheat). RNAcentral's name for it is "partial small subunit ribosomal RNA". The record is from RNAcentral. Lineage: Eukaryota; Viridiplantae; Streptophyta; Magnoliopsida; Poales; Poaceae.